Non-coding RNA from Capsicum annuum, 105 nucleotides. The record is from Rfam. Lineage: Eukaryota; Viridiplantae; Streptophyta; Magnoliopsida; Solanales; Solanaceae.
UAAUGAUGGUGAGGGUAAUUUCUGAGCAUACUCUUAAAUCUCCCAAACUUGGUAGAGAUUCUCUCCUUGUUUUUGUGUGAAAAUUAGAAUUUUGCUUCUCAAUUG